CAGCAGUGAGGAAUAUUGGUCAAUGGGCGGAAGCCUGAACCAGCCAAGUCGCGUGAGGGAUUAAGGCCCUGCGGGUCGUAAACCUCUUUUGCCGGGGAGCAGAGGUCCGGACGUGUCCGGGCCGGGAGAGUACCCGGAGAAAAAGCAUCGGCUAACUCCGUGCCAGCAGCCGCGGUAAUACGGAGGAUGCGAGCGUUAUCCGGAUUUAUUGGGUUUAAAGGGUGCGUAGGCGGGCAUUUAAGCCGGCGGUCAAAUGUCGGGGCUCAACCCCGGCCUGCCGUCGGAACUGGGUGCCUUGAGUGGGCGAGAAGUAUGCGGAAUGCGUGGUGUAGCGGUGAAAUGCAUAGAUAUCACGCAGAACCCCGAUUGCGAAGGCAGCAUACCGGCGCCCUACUGACGCUGAGGCACGAAAGUGCGGGUAUCGAACAGGAUUAGA
This 436-nucleotide ribosomal RNA is filed under the name uncultured Porphyromonadaceae bacterium. RNAcentral's name for it is "bacterial SSU rRNA". It matches the Rfam family "Bacterial small subunit ribosomal RNA", at positions 349 to 782 of the family's 1533-position model. Lineage: Bacteria; Pseudomonadati; Bacteroidota; Bacteroidia; Bacteroidales; Porphyromonadaceae. The record is from RNAcentral.